GUAAGGAAUAUUGGACAAUGGACGCAAGUCUGAUCCAGCCAUGCCGCGUGAAGGAUUAAGGUCCUCUGGAUUGUAAACUUCUUUUAUAAGGGACGAAAAAAGGCUUUUCUAAGUCGUCUGACGGUACCUUAUGAAUAAGCACCGGCUAACUCCGUGCCAGCAGCCGCGGUAAUACGGAGGGUGCAAGCGUUAUCCGGAUUCACUGGGUUUAAAGGGUGCGUAGGCGGGCAGGUAAGUCAGUGGUGAAAUCCUAGAGCUUAACUCUAGAACUGCCAUUGAUACUAUCUGUCUUGAAUAUUGUGGAGGUAAGCGGAAUAUGUCAUGUAGCGGUGAAAUGCUUAGAUAUGACAUAGAACACCUAUUGCGAAGGCAGCUUACUACGCAUAUAUUGACGCUGAGGCACGAAAGCGUGGGGAUCAAACAGGAUUAGAAACCCGAGUAGUCC
This 445-nucleotide ribosomal RNA is filed under the name uncultured bacterium. Its description in RNAcentral is "bacterial SSU rRNA". It matches the Rfam family "Bacterial small subunit ribosomal RNA", at positions 354 to 796 of the family's 1533-position model. The record is from RNAcentral.